Molecule: ribosomal RNA, 433 nt
Filed under: uncultured bacterium
Lineage: Bacteria
Description: partial 16S ribosomal RNA
Rfam family: Bacterial small subunit ribosomal RNA
Source: RNAcentral
AACGAACGCUGGCGGCAUGCCUAACACAUGCAAGUCGAACGAGACCUUCGGGUCUAGUUGCGCACGGGUGCGUAACGCGUGGGAAUCUACCCUCAGGUUCGGAAUAACUCAGAGAAAUUUGGGCUAAUACCGGAUGAUGACGUAAGUCCAAAGAUUUAUCGCCUGAGGAUGAGCCCGCGUAGGAUUAGGUAGUUGGUGAGGUAAAGGCUCGCCAAGCCGACGAUCCUUAGCUGGUCUGAGAGGAUGAUCAGCCACACUGGGACUGAGACACGGCCCAGACUCCUACGGGAGGCAGCAGUGGGGAAUAUUGGACAAGGGGCGCAAGCCUGAUCCAGCAAUGCCGCGUGAGUGAUGAAGGCCUUAGGGUUGUAAAGCUCUUUUACACGGGAUGAUAAUGACAGUACCGGGAGAAUAAGCACCGGCUAACUCCGUG